RNAcentral lists this ribosomal RNA (550 nucleotides) under uncultured bacterium. RNAcentral describes it as "bacterial SSU rRNA". It matches the Rfam family "Bacterial small subunit ribosomal RNA", at positions 379 to 919 of the family's 1533-position model. The record is from RNAcentral.
AGGCCUGAUCCAGCCAUGCCGCGUGCAGUGAUGAAGGCCUUCGGGUUGUAAACUGCUUUUGUACGGAACGAAAAAGCUUCUCCUAAUACCAGAGGCCCAUGACGGUACCGUAAGAAUAAGCACCGGCUAACUACGUGCCAGCAGCCGCGGUAAUACGUAGGGUGCGAGCGUUAAUCGGAAUUACUGGGCGUAAAGCGUGCGCAGGCGGUUAUGUAAGACAGAUGUGAAAUCCCCGGGCUCAACCUGGGAACUGCAUUUGUGACUGCAUGGCUAGAGUACGGUAGAGGGGGAUGGAAUUCCGCGUGUAGCAGUGAAAUGCGUAGAUAUGCGGAGGAACACCGAUGGCGAAGGCAAUCCCCUGGACCUGUACUGACGCUCAUGCACGAAAGCGUGGGGAGCAAACAGGAUUAGAUACCCUGGUAGUCCACGCCCUAAACGAUGUCAACUGGUUGUUGGGAAUUAUUUUUCUCAGUAACGAAGCUAACGCGUGAAGUUGACCGCCUGGGGAGUACGGCCGCAAGGUUAAACCUCAAAGAAGUUUUUGCGGGGG